This 446-nucleotide unclassified non-coding RNA is filed under the name Fermentozyma sake. RNAcentral describes it as "[Candida] sake sequence contains 18S rRNA gene, ITS1, 5.8S rRNA gene, ITS2, 28S rRNA gene". The stretch from base 135 to 288 matches the Rfam family "5.8S ribosomal RNA". The record is from RNAcentral. Lineage: Eukaryota; Fungi; Ascomycota; Pichiomycetes; Serinales; Debaryomycetaceae.
UCGUAACAAGGUUUCCGUAGGUGAACCUGCGGAAGGAUCAUUAAAGUUUGCUUAAUUGCAUUACACAUGUUUUUUUAGAGAACUUGCUUGCAAGAACACUAAUAAUUUACUUAGUCAACAAAUAAAAAUAUCAAAACUUUCAACAACGGAUCUCUUGGUUCUCGCAUCGAUGAAGAACGCAGCGAAAUGCGAUACGUAAUAUGAAUUGCAGAUUUUCGUGAAUCAUCGAAUCUUUGAACGCACAUUGCGCCCUGUGGUAUUCCACAGGGCAUGCCUGUUUGAGCGUCAUUUCUCCCUCAAACCUCUGGUUUGGCGUUGAGUGAUACUCGGUUUACUUGAAAAACAUGAAAAGCAUAACUAUUAGGUUUUACCAACUCGUUAUACUAAUCUACAAGUUUGACCUCAAAUCAGGUAGGACUACCCGCUGAACUUAAGCAUAUCAAUAA